RNAcentral lists this ribosomal RNA (300 nucleotides) under uncultured Methanosarcina sp. RNAcentral's name for it is "bacterial SSU rRNA". It matches the Rfam family "Bacterial small subunit ribosomal RNA", at positions 497 to 795 of the family's 1533-position model. The record is from RNAcentral. Lineage: Archaea; Methanobacteriati; Methanobacteriota; Methanomicrobia; Methanosarcinales; Methanosarcinaceae.
CCAACUACGGGCCAGCAGCCGCGGUCGUACGUAGGACCCAAGCGUUAUCCGGAGUGACUGGGCGUAAGAAGUUGCGUAGGCGGUAGUUUAAGCGAGGAGUGAAAUAUGAUGGCUCAACCAUCAAAACAGUUUUCGAACUGGAUUACUCGAGAAUGGUAGAGGUAGCUGGAAUUUCUAGUGUAGGAGUGAAAUCCGUAGAUAUUAGAAGGAACACCAAUGGCGUAGGCAGGCUACUGGACCAUUUCUGACGCUGAGGCACGAAAGCGUGGGGAGCAAACAGGAUUAGAUACCCCUGUAGUC